GACGAAGGAUGCAAGCGUUAUCCGGAUUCAUUGGGUUUAAAGGGAGCGUAGGUGGCCUUAUAAGUCAGUGGUGAAAUCUCUGGGCUUAACCCAGAAAUUGCCAUUGAUACUGUAGGGCUUGAGUAUAGUUGCCGUUGGUCGGGAAAUAUGACAUGUAGUGGUGAAAAUACAUAGAGAUGUCAUAGAAACACCGAUUGCGAAGGCAGCUGACGAAACUAUAACUGGCACUGAGGACUCGAAAAGUGCGGGGAUCAAA
RNAcentral lists this ribosomal RNA (256 nucleotides) under uncultured bacterium. Its description in RNAcentral is "partial 16S ribosomal RNA". It matches the Rfam family "Bacterial small subunit ribosomal RNA", at positions 524 to 772 of the family's 1533-position model. The record is from RNAcentral.